RNAcentral lists this ribosomal RNA (265 nucleotides) under uncultured Actinomucor. Its description in RNAcentral is "partial 18S ribosomal RNA". It matches the Rfam family "Eukaryotic small subunit ribosomal RNA", at positions 94 to 355 of the family's 1831-position model. The record is from RNAcentral. Lineage: Eukaryota; Fungi; Mucoromycota; Mucoromycetes; Mucorales; Mucoraceae.
UGGCUCAUUAAAUCAGUUAUGAUCUACGUGACAUAUUCUUUACUACUUGGAUAACCGUGGUAAUUCUAGAGCUAAUACAUGCAAAAAAGCCCUGACUUCGGAAGGGGUGCACUUAUUAGAUAAAGCCAACGCUGGGUAAAACCAGUUUCCCUUGGUGAUUCAUAAUAAUUAAGCGGAUCGCAUGGCCUUGUGCUGGCGACGGUCCACUCGAUUUUCUGCCCUAUCAUGGUUGAGAUUGUAAGAUAGAGGCUUACAAUGCCUACAA